CCCAAAGCUCGAAACACUUUCCUUUUUCCAGAAAUCCUAUGACCGCGCGGAAAACAAAAUCAAACCAGCCAACAACCAGACCAGGAUGGGAAAAUAUGAACCAAAUCCAAACCACGGGAUAUUAAAUUGCAUAUCACUCCAUCACCAAACAUCAUAAAUACCUUGCCGGAUCAAUUAUCAUUCAUAGAAGACCUUGACAGCACCACAGAGAAAAGAAACAUAUAAGACACGCUCCCGAUAAUUAGACUGUAAGACCAGCAAAACCACCCAAAUCAGAACCACAAACAGAAAGGCACGAAAGAGCUUUAGAUAAAACACAAGUUAGAUUAUAUUCCCCAUUAAGUAUCCAUCACAUCUGUAGCUUUACAUAAGAGACUCUGAAGCUCAUUUUCCAACGGUUUGCAAAGGGUCCAACGAUAUAUGUAAAAUCAGAUUCAACAUUCCUAUAGCACAUGUAGUUUCAGAUAUUAAAAUUGAACUAAGACACUUCCCUUAAGCCACAGAAGAAAGGUACUGACUGGUAGGACAGGUAAAUAAAUUAUCUUUCCGCGUAGUCAAUAGGCCAGAGUAAUGUAGAUGGAACUAGCAAAAACUUUCUUUAAACAGAAGGCCCACCAUCAUUUUUGUAGCAAAUGUCUGUAGACAGAGAGGAAAAGAAGAACAGGGGAUUUGAAGAUUGAUUUGAAAGUAAUAUGACCGUAUAAAGUAGUAAUAUGAAAAUUGAGGGAGCCGUUAGAAAAUACUCUCUCAAAGAAUCUGAGACGCAUCUCACUAAGCCACUACCUGCUGCCGAUCAACACAUUUUGCAACCAGAAGCAAGAAGGUUUUCAUGAGAUAAAUAAAUCAGAAAUUAAAUUAUCUUCCCCGUCAUGUUGUCCGUUAAUCAGACUCAACCUCAGAUCCAACUGCACUAAUCCAUCUUUUGCUGAAGCAAUGGGUUAUCCUGUCCAAAGAUGGAACUUCAGCAGACCCCCUAAAAUACACAAACAAAAGUUACCAAAUGGGAGGACAUCCACCAUCAAUUUUCGAGAGGAAAAGCAAAACCCGGAUAAGGAGAAAAUACUCAAACUUGAAGCUGUUUCUUCUACCAAAAAUCAUAUUUUAACCAUUUCCUUCCAAGUCUAUGCCAUCUCGUAAAAGAAAACCAAACCAACGGACAAGAGAAAUCAUAAUCCAAACCCACACAAUCGAAAAAUAGACAAAAUAGUGGCCGAUAAGGAAACAUCAUACCACAUGCCAUAUCAAAAUCACCCAAAUAGAUUUGAAAACAUAUGGUCAUAUUUCAAAAUUGAAUGAGAAGGAUGAUGAUUACAUAAGAAUAUACAAUCUGGAACUGACAAAAACUCACUGAUCGAUAAGCUAAUUAAAUCACAAAAUAAAUUAUCUUGCCAUCAUCAGAUCCAACCGAGAUCUCUAGCUUAAGCAAUUGGCGAUCCUAUCCACAGUAUUCAGUUGUACUUAAGCUCCUUAUCCAGGUAUACAUACGCUCUAGUAAAAUCAGAUCCUCAUUCUACUUGCACAGUUAGCUUAGCUCCAUAAAUAAACAUGAAACACAACCAACAAAACAGAAAGUACCAAAUAGUAAUAAAGUAGUAAAGCAGUAAAGGGAUUUAAAAGAUACAUUAAAAAAAUUGUGAUAUAAAGUUAUAAAGUUAGAAAAAUAAGGAGAGAGAGAGAGAGAGAGAGAGAGAGAGAGAGAGAGAGAGAGAGAGAUUGAAAUAUCUGGAACUGACGGGAGUUUCAGAGCUGAGUUCCUACUUUAUUACCACAACUGCGGAUCAACACAGUCGAAAGCAACGGUUGAAGGUCAAGAAAUAUCAUAUUGCACAUAUAUAUCAUAAGGAGAAUCAAAGAGAGGUUCUUCAGAUGAGACAAAUAGGUUGAACAUCCAGUAGCAGAUCAAAAUAGCAGUCAAAAGGACGAAACUUUACCGGACACUCUGUUUAGAAUUGUCAUAUAAACACAAUUAAGACAAAAAGGAGAACAUACUCGUAUUCAAAGCGCUUUCUUCUACAAGGAAUCUUGUUCAAACAAGGUUGACAAAAAAUCAAAUCAGCCGAUUACCAAACCCUGGCAAGAUAAAACACAAUCCAAUCGCAUAACGCCUGAUAAUAAACAAUAAUAGACAACUCGUUGAUACCAUACCUAAUACCUCGAAAAUCACCAAAAGAAAACCAAUUCAGAAUCACAAUCAGACGGCCUCGCAAAGAUACGACCCCAAAUCCAUGACGAUACGAUUGUCAAACCGGCAAAAUAACCCCAAAUAAAAUCAAAUCAGGACCACAAUCAGACGGCAUCACAAAAGUGAAGAAAAAAAACACGCGACGGAUAAUCAUUGAAUUGAAUUGCGACGCGACGGAUAAUCAUUGAAUUGAAUUGCGCAGGUUUCUGCAGGAAAAGCAGUAAAGGGAUAUAAAAGAGAUAUUAAAAACAAUUGCAAUCUAAAGUUAGAAAAGUAAGGAGGAUGAGGGAGAGAGAGAGAAAGCAAGAUUGAACAAUUUUUGGAGCUGACGGAUAUCUAAGAGCGGAGUUCCAACUUUAUUACCACACCUGUCGAUCAACAGGUUCCAAAGCAAAGGUCUAGGAAUAUCAUAAGGAGAAUCAAAUCUUAAGGAGCAUCAAAAUCACCACAGAAAAGCACAAUCAAACCCUCUCGCAAAGAGGAGAAAUUGUUAUACCGGCGAAAUCACCCAAAUAAAAUUAAACAGAACCACAAUAAGACAGGAAUCGGAUAAGAGAGAGAAAAAAAAAAAGUAUACAACUGAGAAGUACAAACCUUUUGCAAUUUCAGUUCCAAAAAUUUCAGAAUUUAAAAACUUUGGACACUUAUAUUCCACCGAUGACCAGUUGUGAAUCAGUUAAAAAAAAAAAAAAAAAAAGAGAGAGAGAACGAGAUCUAAGAAAACAAAGAUUACAAGUUAUUAUGAUUCAGAACUUAUUCAACAUUUCAACAUCCAUUUCAUGCAUGACGCAGAGACUAAAUCCCAUUUCUAACGAAAUUUAGAAAAAUGGGAAAAUUUCACAGUUAGAUUUUCUGUGCCAUCCUCCUUUACCCGGGCUUGGGACCGGCUGUGCUGAGCAAAUCUAGCAGGCACAGGUGGAGUUACAAGAAUAUACCUAUAUAUACAACUACCAACACUAAAACGCACACAUAAUCACACAUAGAUAUAAACCGUUCCAGAACAAAUAUUAAAGCUGAGAAAUAGUUUGAUUCAUAUACGAUAGUAGAUUGGAUAAAAGCUUAGUUACUUAUAAAAACUUUUGUACUCAUUUCAAUCAUUCAUUUCCCUUUUCUUUCUUCCAACUAUUGUGGAUAACAUUAGAGAUAAAAGGAAAUACCUCAUGUGAAAAAAAUUACCAAAGUCGUAUCCAAGAGGACAUAAAUUUUAUCAAAUGAGGUAAACUAAUACUCACAUAAUUACAUAUUAAAUUUCACGCACUUGAAAAUUCUCACAUAGUAGAAAUCACGAUGAAGAGCUGACCAAGAACUGUGCAGAAUGGUAAUCCAAAGAAUAUUCAGAAGAUUUUAAACAUCCUCAAAACAGCAGAGCAACAAAUCCAAAGUCUCCUCAUAAGAAUCACAACAUGCGAGCAGAAACAAGGCCCCAACAAUCAACUUCAAAUACUACUUGACAACUGAACAAGGUUUAUCAUUCUGAUAUGCAUAGUGCCAACUUAGCUUGUGUAGAAAAAUUGCCAGGAAGAAAAAACCAAGUCUUCGUAGGAUGCCUAUAACUCAAUGCAUAUAAACCAGAAAGAGAUGUUUAAGGCCACAAUAAAGAAUACUACUCACUUGAUCUGCAGAAGAAGCACGUUCCACACCAACUAAAAAGCACACACAAUUCCAGUGCCAAAUAAAAGAGAAACCGCUAGAAACAAAACUCUGCAUAAACCUUGCGAAGAAACCAAGGAACACCAUACGAAGGCACAUUGGGAGCGUCUUAUUGCUAUUCAUGAUCUCAUAUUUUGUAGUGAAAUUCAUGAGGCAAGUUAAUAUGAUAAAAGUGUAUCCUGGAAUUGAGAAAUUCAUGAUAGGGAUGAUUAACUGAAGACUGCAAAGAAAAAUAAAGAUAAUAAAAAAUCAUAGCUCCGGGAAAGCGAAGCACCGAAAGAUAAAAAGUUAAUAACCAACAAGUAAAAGAAGAGUCUAAAUGCUCGACACAUAGUUGGCAAAAGUUCAAUUAUGAAUAAGCUUUUUAGCCUCUAGUUUAAAGCCCAAUAGAAUAUCAAUGUCAACAUUCGUUUUAGUAGAUUACUUACAAAAGUGAAUUUUCGGACAAAUAGAGACUUCAGAAACUAGUGAACCUAGGAUGGCAUGUUAAUUAAGAAGAAUGCAAGAAACAGAUUUAAAAUGCCACUAUUGAAAAUGAAUUUUAUAUUCCGCAAGUUUAUGAAAAUAUAAAAUAAAAAUCCAAAUUCAAAUCAGUACAUUAUAACUUAUAAUUAUAUAAAUCUGGACAACUAGAAUCCUAAAAAACUCGAGGAAGAACAUAGAAAAUAGAUUAUAGGUAGUAGAAAGAAGUAAAAGAGUCGACGCAGAACAUGCAGCCAAAGCAGAGAUGAGGGAACUUUUUCCUUACUAUCAUGAAUUCUAACCAAUAUAUUAUAAACAGUUACAAUCUACCCGUCAUCAUCCAUAAACUACAAAUUAUAAUUUAUAACCUCUUCAAGAUUAGAAAAUUUUAUAAAUUAAAGAUUAUAGAUUAUAAAUUGCUAAUGUCUAUAUGUAGAAAAAUGAAAAAAAGUUAACUAGGAUUUCUGAGAGAACUAAAAUAAUCUCCAUGUUUUUUUUUUGGCGUAAUAAAGUUCACUAGGAUUUCAUCAGUGCUUUUGGGAGAUUGUGUUUCCUAUUAACUAAUCUUGGCAAGUAAGAAUGAUAUCAAAAUUUGCUUCCAAUGGCCAAAAAAGGGGUUUAGUUAAAGGAAAUAUAUCCAAAAAAGGGUGACGAUAUAAUUAAUAAUUAUUAAUUAAUCAAACCAGUUUAGGCGGAAAUAGGACAGACAAAUCAUAUACUUGCAGCCAAAAAACAGAUUGCCAUCAACAAAAAGUAAUGUAAAUAAGUAGUGUGAUAGAAAGAGCAAUUCAGACCAAUAUUUGUUAUCUUGAAGAAAUUCGUUAACCAAGAAACGUAAACAGGGUCAAUAGCUUACUUUGCUGGUUUCACUGCUUCACAUAAUGUAGAGUCCUUCAAAAAUGUUAACCCAAACCACCAAAUAAUAUAAUAACCACACUUAGGGUGAAAAAUCUUCUUAGAUCAAAGCCAUACAACAUCAACUCGAAUUAGAUCAAAGCACAAGUUCAGUACCAGCUCCAUGUAGGAAAGAUCUCCAAAGAUAAGAACUAUAAAACACAAGCACAACUCGCAAACACAACCCAGAAAUUUCAACGAACAAACUGCCGACAACAGAAAUAACUAAAGAAAUAGAGGAUGUUCAAUCAAACGAGUCUUGGCAAUCCAUUAAGAAGACGUAAGCUGAGAUAAAACCCUUAAAAGGCCUGAAAAUAUAAUACAAAUCGAAUUUCACCUACACCAAAUACGCUGGUUAAUGAAGUGAUGAUGAACGGUCAGAAAAUUCCAACGACAGAGAAUCGAUGGAGAGCAGUUAACAUAUGAUAGGGCCAAUCCCAUCUAGGUUCUCAAAAAAAGGCGAGCAAACCCCAAAACCGGAAGAACAUAGAGAUCAAACAACCAUAGGACUAAACUCAAUGGCAGGGAAGGAGAACAGACUUGUGGAAAUUUUCCAAAAUUCGAAAGCUUUAUCGAAUAUCAAGAAAAUAUCAAGACAAACUGUAUUAUUCUCCACAGCAAAGACAGAUUACCAGGGCCUUAAUGCAUAAUCAUACGUUCCAAUUCAGCCUAUUUUACCACAAAAAAGGAAAGCAAGUCCCAUAACCAGAAAAUACAUCAACUUCCCCAUUAUGUCGUGAUCGAAUCAGUAGCUUUAAGUCAAGACUAUAAACCUCAAAUCCAACUGCAUGCAAAGUUAAGAAAAAAUGAAACAGACGGGGACCGGGUAAACACAGAAGGUAAAAGAAGUCCGAUGAAAUAAAUAAAUCAUCAAUUAAAUCUUCCCCGUAAUGUACCGACCCAAGUAGCUUCCGACAAGAUUCUAAAAACCUCAGACCGAACUGCAAUUUAAAGGACAAAUCAGAUAUAAAAAUCAGGCAACAUCCAUGUAGGAAGGAGGGGUAUUUGAACACAAUAUGGAAAUAGUAGUCCUAUAAAAUAAAUAUAUCACUAAUUAUAUUAUCUUCCACAUUUAGGUAGUGAGAGAUAUUAGGACACAAAAAUUUAUAGUCAAUAAGAAACAACAAAAAUUAGAUCAUCUUCCCCGUUACGUCUCGAUCCCAACAAUAGCUUUAAGUAAGACACUAAACAAAGAACUGCAAGCAAUGGAUAACAAAAUGAAACAUCCAGAUAGGGAGGGUGAAUUAAGUCCCAUCAAAUGCUUCAGACAAAACUUUAAACCUCAAUUCCAACCGCAUCAUAGACAAGAGAGAACAGAACAUCCAGGUGGAAAAGGAUGUAUUAGUACAGAAUAAGGGAGUUUAAGUGCCAUGAAAUAAAUAAAUCAGAAUUUAGGUUAUCUUCCCCAUUACAUAUGAACUCCACCAAUAGCUUUAAGAUAAGAAUCUCAAGUUCAACUGCAUGCAAUCGGCAAGACAAAAUGGAACAUUCAGGUGGGGAGGGGAUAUUAGCACUAAAAUAGGGAAAUUCCCGUGAAAAAAAUCAAUCAUAUGUUAGAUCUUCCCCAUUAUGCCCCACCAAGUAGCUUUAGAUAAAACUGAACCUCUUACAGGCCGCGGCAAAACAAAAAAUCCAGGUGGGGAGGGAGCAUUAGCAUACAAUAAGCGAAUAGCAGUCCUAUGAAAUAAAUAACUCACAAGUUGGAUUAUUUUCCCCGUUAUUUCUCGUUCCCAUAGCUUUAAGAUACGACUCUAAACAUCCAAUCCAACUGUAUUCAACCAGACACAAAAUAAGAGAUUUGGCUGUCUUUUGACUCAAAUAGAUCGGAAAUUAGAUUAUCUUCCCCUUGUGUUUGUGACCUCUGAUCCAAAUGCAUUUACCAGACAGGACAGAAUAAAUCAUCUAAGCCGCGAGGGGGUGAUUAGCACGAAAUAGAACUAUGAAUUUAAAAACAAAAAUUAGUUCCCCAUUUGUUCGAUCCCAUUAGUAGCUUUAAGAUAAGACUCCAAACCCGAGAUCGACUGCAUGAACGAACCAAUGGAACAUCCAGGUGGGGAGGGGGCUUUAGCACACAAGGAAGGAAUAAAAAUGCAAACGAAAUACAUAAAUUAUAUAUUAGAUUAUCUUCCCAAUUUAUGUCUUCAUCCCAUAAUCAUCCAAAUUAUAUAUAACGGACAAACCCUGAGAUCUGAAUCCAACUGCAUUUGAUGGACAAGAAUGAAAAAAAAUUAAGAUGGCUGAGUGGGUGGAGGGAGGAUUGUGUGAGCACACAAUAAUUCAAAAAAUCAAUUAUCUUCUCUAAUAUGCUUCAAUCCAUUCAAUAGCUUUAAGAUAAGACUGUCUAAACCUCAUAUCCAGCCAGCUGCAUUUACUCAGGUCUUUUUCUUACGAGAAAGGUGAUCUGUUCACAUGAUCCAUAAGAGGCUAAAGUCUCGUAAAAUUAGAUUUUCAUCAUUCCAGUAGUUAGCUUUAGAAAAUAAAGAUGAAACUAGCAUGACUUCCUAAAGACCACAAAUCAAAGGUACCAAAUGGUUGGACAACACCGUCAUUUAUGUUUCAAGUUUCUGCAAAUAGAAAGGAAAAACGAAAUAGGAUUUGAAAUGUAAAAAAUAAUAGAUUAUGGAGGGAUUCAAAGAAUAUUAACUUAACAUCACUAUCGUACUCACCACCACUCGUCGAUCAACAGUCAACACAGCCCAAACCAUCUUAUGUAGCAACCGAACUUCUCAAAACAUAACACAAAAUUGUCAUACAACCAAGCAAAUUCACGAAAAGACGGAGAAAUGCUCAAAGCUCGAAACACUUUCCUUUACCCAGAAAUCCUGACCGCGCAGAAUUAAAAAAAAAAAAUCAAACCAGCCAACAACCAGACCAAGAUGGGAAAACAUGAACCAAAUCCAAACCACAUGAUAUUAAAUUGCAUAUCACUCCAUAAGCAAACAUCAUAAAUACCUUGCCAGAUCAAUUAUCAUUCAAAGAAGACCUAGACAGCGCCACAGAGAAAAGAAACAUAUAACAGAGGCUCCCGAUAAUUAGACUGUAAGACCAGCAAAACCACCCAAAUCAGAACCACAAACUGAUAGGCACGAAAGAACUUUAGCUAAAACACAAGUUAGAUUAUCUUCACCAUUAAGUAUCCAUCACAUCUGUAGCUUUACAUAAGAGACUCUGAAGCUCAUUUUCCAACGGUUUGCUUAAGAAAUUGGUGAUCCUGUGCAAAGGGUCCAAGGGAUACAUGUAAAAUCAGAUUCAUCAUUCCUAUAGCACAUGUAGUUUCAGAUAGUAAAAUUGAACUACGACACUUCCCUUAAGCCACAAAAGAAGGGUACUGACUGGUACGCCAGAGUAAUGUCUGCAGACAGAAAGCAAUAUGACCGUAUAAAGUGUAAUAUGAAAAUUGGACGAAAAGGUGAUAGUAGGGAGACAUUAGAAAAUACUCUCUCAAAGAAACUGCCGAUCAACACAUUUUGCAACCAGAAGCCAGAAAUUUUUUAUGAGAUAAAUAAAUCAGAAAUUAAAUUAUCUUCCCCAUCAUGGCGUCCGUUAAUAAACUCAACCUCAGAUCCAACUGCACUAAUCCAUCUUUUGCUGAAGCAAUGGGUUAUCCUGUCCUAAGAUGGAACUACCGCAGACCCCUAAAAUACACAAACAAAAGUUACCAAAUGCGAGGACAUCCACCAUUAAUUUUCGAGAGGAAAAGCAAAGCUGGGAUAAGGAGAAAAUAUUCAAACUUGAAGUUGUUCCUUCUACCAAAAAUCAUAUUUUAACCAUUUCCUUCGAAGUCUAUGCCAUACAUGAAGUAGUACAUUAUCUGACAAACUAAAAGCACAAACAACUCCAGUGCAAAAUAAAAGAGGAACUAAUAGAAAUAGCAUCCAAACGCCUUAGAUGAAGACACAUUUGGGGGCUUAUUGCAAGUCAUUAUCUCAUAUUUUGUAGUGAAGUUCAUGAGGCAAGUGGAUAUGAUAAAACUGUCUCCCGGAACCAAGAAAUUCGUGAUAGGGAUUAACCGAAGACUGUCAAAGAAAAAUAAAGUAAACAAAAAAAAUCACAGCUCCGGAAAAGCGAACCACCCAAAGAUAAAAAGUCAAUAACCAACAAGCAAAAGAAGAGUCAAAAUUCCUAACACAUAAUAGGCAAAAGUUUAGUUAUGAAUAAGAAAUGUCAACACUCGUUUUAGUAGUCAUAUCAAAUUGCAAUUUUACUUGGUAAAGUGAAUUUCGGACAGAUAAUUAUAAUCAAAACUUAUGGAUUGAAACUGGUGGACCUAGGAUGGCAUGUUAAUUAAGAAGAAUGCAAGAAACAUGUUUAAAAUGCACCAUCAAAAAUAAAUUUUAUAUGCAGCAAGUUUAUAAAAAUAUAAAAUAAAAAAUUCAAAUUCGAAUGAGUACAUUAUAAUUUAUAAUUUAUGAAUUAUAUAAAUCUUGAUCAAUAGAAUCCUAAAAAAACUAGAGAAGAACAUAUAAAAUAGGUUAAAUGUAGCAGAAGGAAGCAAAAGACUCCAUGCAGAUCAUGCAGCCUAAGCAGAGAUUAGGGAAUUUUAUCCUUAGUGUAACCAUAUCAUAUAGAAAAUUCUAGCCAAGAUAUUAUAAACAGAUAAUUUCUAGGCAAGAUAUUAUAAACAGAUAAAAUCUAGCCGCAAUCAUCCAUCAAUUAUAAUUUACAAUUUAAAUUAUCCUAUUCAAGAUUAGAAUAUUUAAUAAAUUAAAGAUUCUAGAUUAUUCGAUUACAAAAAGAGAGUAGAGCUAUAUAUGUCAUUAUGAUUACCUUAAUUCCUGCUAAGAAAACUGAGAAACCAGCAUAACACCAUCAACUCAGCAACCAAACUCUACGAGGUACUAGGAAGACGAACCCGAGCAUAGAUAAAUAUGUUUUACUGAACAAUAAAUAUACAGCACAAAAAGCCACAAAAAGAAACCAAAGGACAUGGAGACAAAGUUCAAGAAGCUACACGUAAUUGGAUUUGCCUAUUGUUAAAGUUAUCAAAUGGCAUAAAUAAUUGUUAGUAUAGUAGUUCAAAAUUCAGAUAUGUAAUAUAUUUCGCUAAUGUCUGUGUACAGAAAAAUGAAAAAAGCCAACGAGGAUUUCUGAGAGAAAUAUAUAAUCUCCAUGUUUUUUUCGCAUGAUAAAGUUAACCAGGAUUCAUCGGUGCUUUUGGGGCCUCGUGUAUCCUAUUAACUAAUCUUGGCAAGUACGAAUGAUAUCAAAAUUUUCUUUUAAAGGCCAAAAUAAAAGGUUUGGUCAAGCGAAAUAUGUCCAAAAAAGGGUGAUCUGCUAGCAAUCAAAACAGCACUUUGAUGAUAUAAUUACUAAUUAAUCAAACCAGUUUAGGCAGAAAUAGGACAGACAAAUCAUAAAGUUAAUUAAAAUGCAAACGGUAAGUAAACCUACGUCUGUUUUAAGCAGAGAAUAGAAAUCAAGGACAGAUCAGAAAGCACAAGACAAUGAAACAUCGAUGUAGUGACGAGGUAACAGAAGUCCUCUGAAAUAAAUAAAUCACAAAUUAGUUGUCUUCCCCAUUGUGCCUUUAGACAAGACUUUAACCUCAGAUCCAACUGCAUUUAAUAGACAAGAUAGAAAAAAAGCACAUAAGGUAAUAGAAAUACUAUGAAAUAAACAAAUCACAAAAUGCGCCAACUUCCCCAUUAUGUCGUGAUCCAAUCAGUAGCUAAGACUCUAAACCUCAAAUCCAACUGCAUGCAAAGUUAAGAAAAAAUGAAACAGACGGAGGGUAAAAAAACACAGAAGGUAAAAGAAGUCCUAUGAAAUAAAUAAAUCAUCAAUUAGAUCUACCCCUUUAUGUCCCGACCCAAGUAGCUUCCGAUAAAACUGCAAUUUAAAGGACAAAUCAGAUUACAAAGGUGGUGUUUGCAAAUGAUUAUUAAAAGCAGAAGUUAGUGAUUGUGAGUUAAGUCAGUUUUAAGUGCUUAUUUCUAAAAGUUGGGGGUGUUUUCAAAUAUUCCGGCAAAUGAACUUAAAUAGAAAAAGCUCAAAGAAGAUUAUUUUAAGAGAAGCAAAAGCAAAAUUAGAUUUCGCAAACACCUGAAAACAGAUUAUGAGUAAAAAAAGCUCAUAAUCACUUUCAAAAAGCGUUUACAAACACCACCAAAGUCAGGCAACAUCAAUGUAGGAAGGGGAUAUUAAAACAACAUGUAAAUAGUAGUCCUAUGAAAUAAAUAUAUCACUAAUUAUAUUAUCUUCCCCAUUAUGUCGCGAUCCGUUGCCAGCUUUUCUCACAUCCAACUGCAUUUACCAGACAAUAAAACAUCUAGGCAGUGACACAAAAAGGUGACAGAAUUCCUAGGAAACAAAUAAAUGAAAAUUAGAUCAUCUUCCCCAUUAUGUCUCGAUCCCAACAGGUAAGACACUAAACUCAGAACAACUGCAAGCAAUGGACAAGACAAUGACACAUCAAAGUAGGGAGGGGGAAUUAGCAAACAAGAAGUAAUAGAAGUCCUAAGAAAUAAACAGAUCACAAAUUAGUUAUCUAUCCCAUUAACUCUUUGUCCCAUCAAUGGCUUCAGCAAAACUCUAAACAUCAGAUCCAAUUGCAUUUACCAGGAAUGACGAAAUAAAACAUUUAGGUAGUGACAGAUAUUAGCAAACAAAAAGGUUAGAGUCACUAAGAAACAAAUAAAUAAACAAUUAGAUCACCUUCCACGUUACGUCUCGAUCCCAACAAUAGCUUUAAGGUAAGACACUAAACUCAGAACAACUGCAAUCAAUGGUAAACAGAAUGAAACAUCCAGGUAGGGAGGGUGAACAAAUCAUAAAUUAGUUAUCUUCCUCGUUUUAUCUCUGUCCCAUCAAUGGCUUCAGACAAGACUCUAAACCUCAAACCAAACUGCAUGUCAUAGACAAGGGAGAACAUAAAAUCCAGGUGGAGAGUGGAUGUAUUAGCACAGAACAAGGGAGUAUAAGUGCCCGCGAAAUAAAUAAAUCAAAAAAUUAGAUUAUCUUCCCCAUUAUGUAUGGACUCCACCAGUAGCUUUAAGAUAAGAAUCUAAACCUCAAAUUCAACUGCUGCAUGCAAUGGAACAUUCAGGUGGGGAGGGAGCAUUAGCACUAUAUAAGGGAAUAGCAGUCCUAUGAAGUAAAUAGCUCACAAUUUAGAUUAUCUUCCCCGUAGCUUUAAGAUACAACUCUAAACCUCCAAUCACAGCUGCAUUUAACGGCAAAACAGAACAAAACAUCCAGGUAUGCCCAUUAGCACAAAAUAAGAGAUUGGCUGUCUUAUGACUUAAAUAGAUCCCAAAUUAGAUUAUCUUCCCCUUAUGUUUGUGCCCAUCACAGCUGUUAAGAUAAGACUCCAAACCUCAGAUCCAACUGCAUUUACCAGACAGGAGGACAGAAUAAGAUUAGCACGAAAUAGAACUCUGAAAUUAAAAAAACACAAAUUAGAUCAUCUUCCCCAUUAUGUUCGAUCCCAUUAAUAGCUUUAAGAUAAGACUCCAAACCCGAGAUCCAACUGCAUGCAAUGGACAAACCAAUGGAACAUCCAGGUGGGGAGGGGGCAUUGGCACACAAGAAAGGAAUACAAAUGCAACAAAAUAAAUAAAUCAUAUCUCAGAUUAUCUUCCCAAUUUAUGUCUUCAUCCCACCAGUCAUCCAUAUUGUACAUAACAGACAAACCCUGAGAUGCAUUUGAUGGACAAGAAAGAACCAAAAAAUAAGCUCACAAUAAAUCAAAAAGCUCAUAUCCAAAAGAACCAAAAAAUAAGCUCACAAUUAAUCAAAAAGCUCAUAUCCAACUGCAAGUCUAGUAAAAUUAGAUUUUCAUCAUUCCAGUAGUUAGCUUUAGAAAAUAACUUCCUAAAGACGACAAUCAAAGGUACCAAAUGGUUGGACAACCACCGUCAUUUUUGUUGUAAGUUUCUGCAAAUAGAAAGGAAAAACGAAAUAGGAUUUGAAAUAUAAAAAAGAAUAGACUAUGGAGGGAUUCAUAAGAAUAUAAAACUUGGCAUCACUAUCGUACUCACCAGCACUCGUUGUUCAACACAACCCAAAUCACUAUCGUACUCACCACCACUCGUUGUUCAACACAGCCCAAAUCAUACUAUGUAGCAACCGAACUUCUCAAAACAUAACAAGAAAUUGCCAUAUUCACGAAAAGAUGGAGAAAUGCCCAAAGCUCGAAACACUUUCCUUUUUCCAGAAAUCCUAUGACCGCGCGGAAAACAAAAUCAAACCAGCCAACAACCAGACCAGGAUGGGAAAAUAUGAACCAAAUCCAAACCACGGGAUAUUAAAUUGCAUAUCACUCCAUAACCAAACAUCAUAAAUACCUUGCCCGAUCAAUUAUCAUUCAUAGAAGACCUUGACAGUACCACAGAGAAAAGAAACAUAUACGACACGCUCCCGAUAAUUAGACUGUAAGACCAGCAAAACCACCCAAAUCAGAACCACAAACAGAAAGGCACGAAAGAGCCUUACAUAAAACACAAGUUAUAUUCCCCAUUAAGUAUCCAUCACAUCUGUAGCUUUACAUAAGAGACUCUGAAGCUCAUUUUCCAACGGUUUGCAAAGGGUCCAAGAUAUAUGUAAAAUCAGAUUCAUCAUUCCUAGAGCACAUGUAGUUUCAGAUAUUAAAAUUGAACUACGACACUUCCCUUAAGCCACAGAAGAAAG
Molecule: long non-coding RNA, 13816 nt
Filed under: Erythranthe guttata (spotted monkey flower)
Lineage: Eukaryota; Viridiplantae; Streptophyta; Magnoliopsida; Lamiales; Phrymaceae
Description: long non-coding RNA (EGUT_LNC003230)
Source: RNAcentral